This 219-nucleotide ribosomal RNA is filed under the name Escherichia coli. RNAcentral describes it as "partial 23S ribosomal RNA". It matches the Rfam family "Bacterial large subunit ribosomal RNA", at positions 138 to 392 of the family's 2925-position model. The record is from RNAcentral. Lineage: Bacteria; Pseudomonadati; Pseudomonadota; Gammaproteobacteria; Enterobacterales; Enterobacteriaceae.
AUUCGUCACACUAUCAUUAACUGAAUCCAUAGGUUAAUGAGGCGAACCGGGGGAACUGAAACAUCUAAGUACCCCGAGGAAAAGAAAUCAACCGAGAUUCCCCCAGUAGCGGCGAGCGAACGGGGAGGAGCCCAGAGCCUGAAUCAGUGUGUGUGUUAGUGGAAGCGUCUGGAAAGGCGCGCGAUACAGGGUGACAGCCCCGUACACAAAAAUGCACAU